GUGCUCACGUCGGCAGGACAUAUACUAAACCUGAUGAAACAGAGAAGAUUAUUAUGGUCCCUGUGCAAAGAAGGCAUGCAAAUUUGUGAAGUGUUCUGUAUUUCU
Molecule: small nuclear RNA, 105 nt
Organism: Saimiri boliviensis boliviensis (Bolivian squirrel monkey)
Lineage: Eukaryota; Metazoa; Chordata; Mammalia; Primates; Cebidae
Source: Ensembl